Non-coding RNA from Parasteatoda tepidariorum (common house spider), 3024 nucleotides. The record is from RefSeq and is a predicted model, not a curated record. Lineage: Eukaryota; Metazoa; Arthropoda; Arachnida; Araneae; Theridiidae.
AAAAAACCAGCAGAAUCUGUCAAAUUUGUAAAUUUAUUUUGUAGUUAUUUACCGUUUGGCCAGACGGGAAAGCCAUAUAAAAUUAACGUGACAUUAAGUGAGGUCUCACUUAACUCUUUGAGGGAUUGAGGCUUUGAGAAAGAGAUUUUUUUUAAGAAAUAAAACAUCUCAAUUGACAAAAUUAGUUUAGCUUCGCUCUAGUAGGACAAUUUAUUUAAAUGAAUUAUUACACUAUUUUAUUUACUGUUUGUUAGUGAUUAAAACAGAGUUAAGAGGCGUUAUUUUUAGGAAAGAAGUCAUGAAUAAUUUUUCUCAAUGAAAAUAAUAUUUCGCAUUAAUGUAAAGCUUAAAAUUUCUUAAUGUAUUUAAUAAUAAUGCAAAAAUAAAUGCCUCGGUUAAUUAUUGAUGUUAGAAGAGCCUAAUGCAUAAGAAACCUAAUUGUUUUUUGUAUUCAAAUUAUAGAGGCUGCCCAAGCACUUGAAACCGGUGGUAAGUAAUGGUUACGUCUCAUAUACAUUCCGGAUCGAAAAAAAAACUAUUUAUUGUCCAAUAUUUAUUAUAUUUAACUCUAAGCAACUUUCUCUUGUUAAAUUUUUGUGCGUUUAUUCCUGUUUAAAAUAUCUACUUAAACCUAAUAAAAAUCCUUUCAUGCUCAAAAAAAGAUAACCUUAAAUUAAAUCACGUAUUUAGUUAGAAAAGUUUUAGCUUAAUAAAGUAGUGUAAUUUUUUUUACAUAAAAAUAUGAUUUUUACUAUAACAAAAAAAAUAAAUUAAUUUAAUUAUUAAACUCAUUGAUAGAUUGAUUGACUCGUAAACAAUAAUAUAAAUUGCCUCAUGAUCAACCUUCAUAUGUAUAUUAAGUAUCGUGAUCAAAAAUAAAAAAAAGCAUGCUCGUGGGAGAAUUAUCUAUUCGGAGAAAAAAAACACUGCAUUCAAAAUCUGAGACAUCACGGUAAUGGAAGACAGGAAUAACAAGCAAUAAUGCAGGUCUGAUUGCAGGAGAAAACAGAAAGGAUAUGAAAGACGACCGUUAGAAUUACCUACAAAUUUCAUGCACAGAAUUUUGAUAUUAUUUGCAUUCGGCUUUCCUUGACUGAUUUUGAUAGUGUCUUUGUUUUCACCUUGAUGAAAUAUUUCCUUGUGACAUCUAAUGUGUGUGUUCUUUUCAUUCGUUAAAAAGCUCCCUAAAAAUACAUAUUAGAGGCAGAAACCCUACAUUUAAAUAUGAAGAAACAUAUUUUUUUUAAAUGAAACACAUAUAACAUCAACACUAGCUGUUUUAUGUUGUUACAAGUAACUUAAGUAGUUGUUGCUACAUAUUUAACCUCAUUUGAUUCAAUUUGCCUCAGAAAAAGUACCUCAUUUGUCUAGAUAACAAAAAUCAAAAGUUCAUCAACAGAAUGACAGAAAUAUUGUUUAUGAUCAAAAACUCACAUGCUUAAAUAAUUACAAAUCAAAGUAGUAUUUUUUGUAUGUUCGAAACCCUUGACAACUUUUAAACUAUUUUCCUCAUUGACUCAUCUCGUUGAAAUAUUUCUAUUUAUUUAGAUAUUAUAGGUGGUGGUAAGUACUCGACACUUUUUACAUGAAAGGAAUAUGCUCUAGUAAUUAGUAUAAGCAAAGUUUUUUGAGUUCAACUAAUUAACUUUACUAUGGAAAUUACUUUCUUACAGUUGCUAAUAUUGGUACAAGUAUGUAUUUAUUUUCACAUUUAUCUUAUUUGGAUAGGUUUAAAAUCCCUGUUAAACAUAAAUGUAAGCAAAAUACAUGGAAAAUGUUGUAUAAAAAAGCACAAAAAUAAAAAUAAACACGAGGGAUUAAAAAAGGUAUCGAACACUAAAGAUUUAAAAAAUAGUAACUAACCGAUGUUUUCUCUGAGAAUGCUCUAUAUAUGUAAACAGAAUGCAAAGGCAUAUCUAACACAAAAACUCCAUUGAUAUUAUAAAAAUUUGGCGGAAUUGCCGCCAAAUAUUACUAUUUUGCUGAAUGAAGUGAUAUUUUGCGCAACCAUACAUAUAUACAACUUAUUAUAACAACAUGUUAUUCUUAGAAACAUAUAUUUUAAUAUUUUUGAAAUGUCAUUUAGCAUUCAACAUACAUAAUUAAAAUAAUAAUUAUAAUAAGUUGUGUAUAUUUGAUUUUAGUGUGAAAACCUCAUAUAAAGGAAGUAAAAACAACGUAAAAAACAAAAAUAAAGUCAAAUAAAAAGUUCAUCUAUUCAAAGGCUAAAAGCUUGGAAAAUUUUAUAUAUUCGUCUAUAAGUAGUUUCCAAGCAUGGAAUUUUAUAAAUGGUUAAUUUUUUUUUUUCCAAAGGCGAUAAAAAAGAAAACAAUAUUUGAUUUUCGGCCAGAAAUCGGCUGAAAAAAUGCCUAUUCUCUAGAUACUUAUAUUUUUCUAUUAACUAUUACUAAACAAACUAAAUACACUAAAUACAUAUGACUUUCUAGUCCUCCAAUUUAUAAUCCCAUCUUUCCGAAAUUUUUCUAUCCCUCUAAUUCGAGGGAAAAGAAUCCAAAUAAGUAAUAUAUGUAUAUAUACAUGAUACAUAACUAAUACAUACUAUCUUUCACUUUUUUUACUAUAAAUUAGUAUUUUAACUAUUAAAAUAGUUAUAAAAAUAUUUAGCCACACCCACCCAUUUAGAAUAUUAAAUAAUCUUGCUUAUACUUGCACAACCUUCAUAUUUCGAGUAUAAAAUUUCAUACUCAUAAAAUUUCAUACUUCAUAAAAUUUCAUACUUCAUAAAAUGUUUAUUAAAAAUCAUUUUUUACUACAUAAUUUAUACGUAAAUAUUCAAGCAAAAUCAGUUCAACUUCUUACAGAACAUGAAAGUACAUAUUAAAAAUGGAUUUUUAAAAUUUUUUUCACAGCUGCAGUAAAAGGAGUUGCUGACACACUUGGCCAUGUCGUGGAUGGCGGUAAGUUUUGAGUCUAUAUUCAAUUACAAAAUUUCCUAAUUUAAAAUAAAAACUGAAACUUUUAAUCUAGCAAGUCUUUUUAUGAUGAUAAGCUAGUUAGUUAAAA